Cercocebus atys (sooty mangabey) is the source of this 3205-nucleotide long non-coding RNA. RefSeq lists it as uncharacterized. The record is from RefSeq and is a predicted model, not a curated record. The transcript is spliced from 3 exons. NCBI's taxonomy places the organism in Eukaryota, Metazoa, Chordata, Mammalia, Primates, Cercopithecidae.
UGUCGACAGAGCGAGACUUCGUCUCAAAAAAAAAAAAAGAAGAAGAAGAAGAAAAGAAAAUAUGCGUUCCAUUUCCGUUUCUCCAGAUUUCUGAGGAGCUAAAUGAAAACAACCAGACUACAUAAGCCUUAUACCUUAGGAAUCCAUUAUACUAGAGCGACUGAAUUAAUUUUCCUCUGUAGUGGAAAUUUUAAUCUAAGCUAUGUAGACAUUGAGUAGUUAACUUCUUUUUUACCAUCACAAGAAUCUGUUUCAAUAUCAAUCACCUAUGUGGUCAAUGCCAUUUCCCUUGACCACACAGUGGAAUCAACUGUCCUUUACUUUCUAUCUUUUGUAAUGCUAUAGUUCUUACUCUUCCAUAGGUAAUGGAUACCUUUGAAAAACUGAUGAAAGCUAUGGGGCCCAGAAAAAUAAAUGUACCCAUAUACACUCAAAUAUUUUCAUACAAUUUCAGGAGUUUAAGAACCUCUAUCCCCCAAGAUCACCUACACAAAUAAUUUCUAUCACCAUAUGGCUCUCUUUUAUAAUCCCACACCACAACUCCUUUACACUCAUAUACACACACAAAUUAAGGACUAGUUCAGAGAUUAUUAACAUAAUACUCAAAAUAAUAAAAUUUCAUCUAAGUAAAGUUUUAUCUUACUAGCAAACUUCUAAGAGUCCCAGAUGAAUUCUUUCCUGAAAAGUUUACUAAAUCUUACUGUUUGGUCAACUUGCUUGCCUUAAAAUGUGCCACAAUGUCUUCCUAAAUUUGUUUUUGUUAACUCUGACACAUCUGCUUGUAAAAUCACAUAAGGCUCAAAAGUUACGUUCGAGCAAAAAAAGAAAAUUCGUGUCAAUAUUAACAAACUCUUGGAUUCAAAUACUUGUUCUACCGUAUCAAGCUAUGUUCAACACGGAACAGUGAAGUUAGCUAGGAACUGAAAAUGAUACAAUCUCAUAACUAUCUAGUUACCUUGUCAAAGCAAGUAAAACAUAAAAGAUGAAACAGGACAAAUGGCUAAAGGGAAGAGAAGAAUAUAAUCAAGGUGUUACUACUAACAGAGAUAAGUGUUUUGUUUUUUUUUCUUUUCUCGAAAGCAUACUUGUUUUAAAAGUGCAGAUUCUUGCUAGAUGUACCAAACCAUUUGUGGAAAGUAUCAGUUAACUUUUUACUUAAAUUUUUAAUCACUGAUUAAGCCACAGUUUUGUACUGGAUCCAAACCAAAUGGCCAGAUGCCACAAGAAACGGCUUUAUUUAUAUGUCACCCUCUCCUUGUCUAUUACAAUCAAGUUGGUAGUUAAAGCUGAAAUCUAUACAUUCAACAUGUGGCUUGUGCUUCAGAUCUGGACUAAGAAUACAGCUAUAAGGAGUAUCUGCUGAAUUUGUACAGGAAAACCCUUUCCCCUCACACCACCCAAAUUAGAAAGUUUACAAAAAGCGGAACCUUUCUGAGGAGUUGAGGAAACUCCAGUAUUUCCCAAUGCAAUACCAGGCCUCAUCGAUUUCAUUCCUCUGCACAUUCAGUGGCAGGAAAUGGACUGCUACCACCGGUUCACACUAUCAGCACAGUGAGAUUUGCACAGUUUGUGCCUACUGCUUUUGAGCGUUCUUAAUCAACUAAGUGGAAGUACUGUACGACUAUGCCUAUUACACACACUCGACAGUUGGUGGUACCUCACUCAGCCUCCAACUCCCACGCGCCCCCACCCUUCCAAAGAAACGUUUCUUGGGAGAGCACAUGGAGAGAGGCGAGGAGGAGGAAAAAGGCACGUAGGCGCCUCUUCCUGAGAUUUCUGAACUUUCAGAGCCUACUGGGAGAGACAGACCAUUAAAGAACUGCACUGCAUUACAACAGAUGUGAACAGGAAGCCUUUGAAGCACAUGAAAGAGCAUUUGCUCCAGUUAAUGCAAACAGUGGUUUAAAACAAGCAAAAACCUUUCCUUCAGGCUUCAGGGUCAUUGGCCUGGCAGAAACUGACACAGGAAAGGAGCCACUGCUCUCAGUAAGGAUGCUUUGUCCACUGAUUAUGAACCAAGCACCUCACCAAUUGUGGCCCUACAGCUGAUUUCUCUGCAUCUAUAAUCCUUUAUUUUUACCAUCCUGGGUCACACAAAUAGGUUGGUGGAUGGAACAUCUCUGAUGCUGAAGAAGGAAGGAGGCUACCAUCAUCAAUUGGGAUAUCAAAAAUUAAAUAUAUGUUAGAACCACUGACCUUGUGGUCUCUCCCUCUGGAUUCUCAUGAAUGUGGCACCGAAUCAGCAUUUAAAAGCCAGCCCUGGGGGAGACCAACAAAAGACUACUGGGCUGUGUCUUCAAACUGACCUUAGAGUCAUCUAUUACCCCUGAGGAUUUCUGACCAUCCUGAUAGUACCCCUCUGAGUUUCUAUGUCUCCCUUCUGCGGUGUGUUCUCAUCUAGACAGUCUGCAUCGUUCAUAGAUGAAACAUGGAUUUGAAAAAAGUAAGAACCACCUCCAAGGUCGCAGCAAAAUGUUUAUGCAUUAAAGUAUUCCUAAGAAUAAGCAGGUAUUUACCAAGUAUAUACUACCUCGUUAACACCAAACUAGAUGUCCUGCAGAUUUAAAAAAAAAAAAAAAUGCCAGACAUUCUGCUAUAACGUCAUAUUAUCUUUACCGAAGAAUCUCCUGUUUUGCAGAAUUGCACACCUAAGAUAGCAGGGCUUACAGGGAAAAUAUGGUUAGGGAAGACCACUUAAAUCCAAUGCAACUUUAUAGUCAGAGCACUAAUGAAAACAACCAUCCUAAUAAAAACACACAGAUAAAUCUCCACUGGCCUUUGCCCCAGCAUCACAGUCAUCAAUGCUUGGUAGCUUUUAUGCUUCCUCCUUCCUGUUGUGGAUCCUCAAGGGCAUUCACUUUUAAUAGAUGCCAUUUUCAUCAGAAUUAAAAAUCUAAUUGAGGAGUAGUCAGCUUUUUAAAAACACAUGGUGAAAGGUCGUCACAGCUUCAUUAGCACGGGACUCACGGCUUCACCAGAUAGUUUUUAAUGUUGUUAAAAACUUAGAGGUUGUAGACACUAAACCAGUCACUACUUAUACUGAAGGCAGAGCUUUGUGCAGGAUUCUUCACUUUUUCAUAAAAGUCUUCAUAUAUUGCUAAGACUUCUUAUUUGUGAGGAAGUUUGCUUCUGAUCACUUCAAAACAAAGUGCUGGCUCGGCACAGUGGCUCAUGCCUGUAAUCCCAACACUUUGGGAAGCCAAGA